UAAACACCACACUACCAAAGCAGACUCUGGUUAGAGAGGAAGCGCAUCGGAAUCCAUGGCUCGCCAAGCCACAAGACUGAUAUCUAACUUGAGUACAAAGCUUAACCCUAGCAGUCCAACGAUGUCUGCUUCUCCAUUAUGGCAUCAGUAUCGCUACUUUGGAUCGCCACCACCGCCACCCGCUGUUUUCGUUGAUAAAAACACCCGCGUCAUAUGUCAAGGCAUCACCGGUAAAAACGGCACUUUCCACACUGAACAGGCCAUUGAAUAUGGUACUAAAAUGGUUGGUGGAGUGACCCCCAAGAAGGGUGGAACAGAACAUUUGGGGCUACCUGUUUUUAAUACUGUUGUAGAGGCAAAAGUAGAGACAAAGGCUAAUGCUUCAGUGGUUUAUGUUCCUCCACCAUUUGCUGCUGCAGCUAUUAUGGAGGCCAUGGAAGCUGAGUUGGACUUAGUUGUCUGCAUAACAGAGGGGAUUCCUCAACAUGAUAUGGUUCGCGUAAAAGCUGCUCUUAAGAAGCAA
RNAcentral lists this unclassified non-coding RNA (523 nucleotides) under Hevea brasiliensis (rubber tree). Lineage: Eukaryota; Viridiplantae; Streptophyta; Magnoliopsida; Malpighiales; Euphorbiaceae. The record is from RNAcentral.